CUCAGUAGCUGAGUGGAUAAUGCGAUGGCGUUUGAAGCGAAAGGUACUGGGUUCGAAUCCCAGAAGCUGAGUA
Molecule: transfer RNA, 73 nt
Filed under: Schistosoma mansoni
Lineage: Eukaryota; Metazoa; Platyhelminthes; Trematoda; Strigeidida; Schistosomatidae
Source: RNAcentral